This 368-nucleotide ribosomal RNA is filed under the name uncultured cyanobacterium. RNAcentral describes it as "bacterial SSU rRNA". It matches the Rfam family "Bacterial small subunit ribosomal RNA", at positions 364 to 746 of the family's 1533-position model. Lineage: Bacteria; Bacillati; Cyanobacteriota. The record is from RNAcentral.
UUCCGCAAUGGGCGCAAGCCUGACGGAGCAAUACCGCGUGAGGGAAGAAGGUCUGUGGAUUGUAAACCUCUUUUKAUAGGGAAGAAGACAGUGACGGUACCUAUCGAAUCAGCCUCGGCUAACUCCGUGCCAGCAGCCGCGGUAAUACGGAGGAGGCAAGCGUUAUCCGGAAUUAUUGGGCGUAAAGAGUCCGUAGGUGGGUCACCCAGUCAGCUGUUAAAUAGUGAAGCUUAACUUCAUAGAGGCGGCUGAAACUGGUGGUCUAGAGAGUGGUAGGGGUAGAGGGAAUUUCCAGUGUAGCGGUGAAAUGCGUAGAUAUUGGAAAGAACACCGGUGGCGAAAGCGCUCUACUGGGCCAUAACUGACAC